GUGCUAACUUUGCCAAUAUAAAAACUAAAACCAGAAUGAUAUAGGGAAGAUCCGCAUAGCCCCCACACAAGGAUGACAUGAAAUUUGUGAAGCAUUGCAAAUUUUU
Molecule: small nuclear RNA, 106 nt
Organism: Dipodomys ordii (Ord's kangaroo rat)
Lineage: Eukaryota; Metazoa; Chordata; Mammalia; Rodentia; Heteromyidae
Source: Ensembl